GCUGGCGGCAGGCUUAACACAUGCAAGUCGAACGCGUGUAGCAAUACACGAGUGGCGCACGGGUGAGUAACGCGUGGAUAUCUGCCUUUUGGUUCGGAAUAACCCCGGGAAACUGGGGCUAAUACCGGAUGGUUCCUUCGGGAUAAAGAUUUAUCGCCAAAAGAUGAGUCCGCGUCCGAUUAGCUAGUUGGUGAGGUAAUGGCUCACCAAGGCGACGAUCGGUAGCUGGUCUGAGAGGACGAUCAGCCACACUGGGACUGAGACACGGCCCAGACUCCUACGGGAGGCAGCAGUGGGGAAUAUUGGACAAUGGGGGCAACCCUGAUCCAGCCAUGCCGCGUGAGUGAUGAAGGCCUUCGGGUUGUAAAGCUCUUUUGGCGGGGACGAUGAUGACGGUACCCGCAGAAUAAGCCCCGGCUAACUUCGUGCCAGCAGCCGCGGUAAGACGAAGGGGGCUAGCGUUGUUCGGAAUUACUGGGCGUAAAGCGCGUGUAGGCGGUUAUCCAAGUCGGGUGUGAAAGCCUUGAGCUUAACUCAAGAAAUGCACUCGGUACUGGGUGACUAGAGGACCGGAGAGGAUAGUGGAAUUCCCAGUGUAGUGGUGAAAUACGUA
This 613-nucleotide ribosomal RNA is filed under the name uncultured soil bacterium. RNAcentral's name for it is "bacterial SSU rRNA". It matches the Rfam family "Bacterial small subunit ribosomal RNA", at positions 35 to 692 of the family's 1533-position model. The record is from RNAcentral.